CCCAGCUCAGUAUCUGCAUAGGAGAGCACAGGUGAUGCCACAGCUCGUGUGUGAACAGUCUUUGUGCACAGACAACAGUGUGAGUGGUACCGGAAACCAUACUGCAACAGAAACUAGCUGCUCGAGCAUGGGUGCUGGGGGCUGUGGCUCGUCCAGCUGCAAGAGCUGCCUCCCCUCUGGUGCUGAUGAAGCUGAAGGCAUCAAGCCUGGCCUGUCUCCCACUCCACUGAGCCUUACUUGAAUGCAGUUGCAGUGGCAUGAAUUAUUGAUAUUUCUGUUAAGGUUUGCUGUUCACACAGGAAUUUGUGAUGCUUCCCCACACUAGGCUGUGAAUGUGCUCCUGGGUCACAUGAAGGGUUGAGUUUAACACCCUUUUACUUCCAUGGUCGUUGACAUUGAUUUAGCAGCUUCAGGGCUGGGGCUGCAAAAUGAACAACCAGCCAAUGGGAACAGCUCUUUCCUAACAAAACAAGGUGGUCUUGGGGGGGUGAAAGGAUCUAAUAUGGAAGGGCACAGGGAAGGUACAGUCAUGACUGUGCAUUUUCAUGGCAUCACCGUAAAGCUGAUGAAAAAGCUUUUGAGGAAUUUCUGAGCAUCCUUUGCCCUGACCUCAGAGCUUGGCAUUUGCAGAAGCUGCCCUUGCUGCCACUGUGCUCCCCACCUCAGGAGACUGCCUUAAUAAUGUCCGUUUCUAAGGCAACAACCUUGUGACUUAGCAAAGGCUGAGAUAAAAGUGUGCUUGUUUACAAACAAACACACUUCACUCACAUAAAUAUGUGAGUACGUCUAUACAUAUGCAUAGAGAUUGGUAUCAGACUGAACAAGUCACUUAGCAGCCAGGAGACAGAAAGCAUCUGAAUAAGGGUGAUGUCAUGGCAGAGACAACUGGUCUCUGGAGAGCUUGGCCAGAGACACUGCAAGAAGUAGGAGCAAAUUCAUUAAGUACAGGUCGUACCCCCAAGCAAAAUGUGGGGAAAAGCUCAAAGGAGUUUUUGCCUCCUCUGGGGACAGGCAGGAGGGAGCAGACUGGUGUGGACGAGCCUGAGCAGCUAUGCCCAUCAGCCUCCUGGGAGCCUCUGCCAGCUCUGCCAGGGCAACCUUUACCCUUUAACCCUGCAGGAUGGUAAACCAUGACUCAGUCUCUGCUCUGCACCAGGAAUCACAAUUAUCAGGAGAGUCUUAUUGCCUCUCCUGGAUCAACACUGUGCUGAACAAUGCUGGAGCAAUACCCAAGCCCUUAACCUUGAAUAACCCCAGAGUAAAUCUACAGAGAUACCUUUGCA
Pogoniulus pusillus (Red-fronted tinkerbird) is the source of this 1283-nucleotide long non-coding RNA. RefSeq lists it as uncharacterized. The transcript is spliced from 2 exons. The record is from RefSeq and is a predicted model, not a curated record. NCBI's taxonomy places the organism in Eukaryota, Metazoa, Chordata, Aves, Piciformes, Lybiidae.